This 470-nucleotide ribosomal RNA is filed under the name uncultured bacterium. Its description in RNAcentral is "bacterial SSU rRNA". It matches the Rfam family "Bacterial small subunit ribosomal RNA", at positions 334 to 794 of the family's 1533-position model. The record is from RNAcentral.
CACUCCUACGGGAGGCAGCAUGGGGGAAUAUUGCACAAUGGGCGCAAGCCUGAUGCAGCCAUGCCGCGUGUAUGAAGAAGGCCUUCGGGUUGUAAAGUAUUUCAGCAGUGAGGAAGGUGGGUAUGUUAAUAGCAUAUUCAUUUGACGUUAGCUGCAGAAGAAGCACCGGCUAACUCCGUGCCAGCAGCCGCGGUAAUACGGAGGGUGCGAGCGUUAAUCGGAAUUACUGGGCGUAAAGCGCAUGCAGGUGGUUUGUUAAGUCAGAUGUGAAAGCCCGGGGCUCAACCUCGGAAUUGCAUUUGAAACUGGCAAACUAGAGUACUGUAGAGGGGGUAGAAUUUCAGGUGUAGCGGUGAAAUGCGUAGAGAUCUGAAGGAAUACCGGUGGCGAAGGCGGCCCCCUGGACAGAUACUGACACUCAGAUCGCGAAAGCGUGGGGAAGCAAACCAGGAUUAGAUACCCUCGGUAGG